UUCAUGGAGAGUUUGAUCCUGGCUCAGGACGAACGCUGGCGGCGUGCCUAAUACAUGCAAGUCGAGCGGACAGAUGGGAGCUUGCUCCCUGAUGUUAGCGGCGGACGGGUGAGUAACAC
Molecule: ribosomal RNA, 119 nt
Filed under: Robertmurraya crescens
Lineage: Bacteria; Bacillati; Bacillota; Bacilli; Caryophanales; Bacillaceae
Description: partial 16S ribosomal RNA
Rfam family: Bacterial small subunit ribosomal RNA
Source: RNAcentral